UCGGCUAUCCUAGGGUCUCUUGACUUAGAUUUUUAAUUCAUUGUGAUAAUUUUCAAGUCAGUUAAAAAUUUCCCACAUACUAUCGAUUUAUGACUACAAAUCAGAAAAAUAUAAACCCUCUGUCUUAGCACAUUGCAUCUUUAAUAAGACAUUCUUUCCAGAAUGACAUUUCAAGGAUAUCUGGAGGUGACCGAUGGGAUGAUAAUUUUGAGUGAAUUUAGAGUUUUAAUUACUGUUUUAUUUGUAAUUCCAAGUGGGUGCUGUGGAAAAAAAAAAAAAGAGCUAUCAACAAAGGAAAUAAUUGUUCCAAAGAAUUACAUCUGCACUGCAUUCUCUGUCAAAAAUUUCUCAUUAAAAAUGUGUUUCUUUAAAAGUAACUCAAAGCAGCUGAUGAAAUAUAAGAGAAUGGAAAGUUUCAAAUCCCAGAGCAAAUGUGGAUUCAUCAGGGAUCAUUUGCCAGAGACCUGACUCAAUGGCAAAAGACCUUCUCACCAUUUCUCACAUCCCUUCCUGGGUUUCAUACAGAGUGGAUAAAGAACGACUAAGCUACGAACAAAUCUUCCAAAGAGGAGACAAUCCCGUAAACCUUCCCAGGAUCUCUGUGCCACCCGCCGAGGCUGACGCGCGCGAGAUGGCUGUUACCAAGAUUAUUCCCAAACAUCCUCUAGCUUGCUGGAGACCACAAAGAUCAGUCCUGCCUGAAAGGCCACCGGUGUGCAUCUCACAAAAGAAUAAGAUGAUGGAAAAAUAUGGCCAUCUCCUUGAAGUGGGGGCUGCCGAUGGAAGAAAAGCAGUAGAUGGGCAGAAGACAAGGUCAAAACCCAGGUCGGGCUGACGCUGUCUGGAAGACCAAAAGCCAGCUGCCUUAUCGACGAAUUUAAUGAGCACCUAUUAUGUGUGGGGACAUUGCCAAAUGCUGCAGGAAUCCCUUCCGAGGGUAUUUACAGUCUAUUGAGGAGAGAAGGCACGUGUAGACCAAAUGAUUUAAUUAUCAUCUCAGUCUGUCUUCUCAUACCGAGCUGUAAGAGCGAGAAGAGCAGGGGCUGCGUGUGGUUUGGAAUUGCUGUAUCUCCAGAAGCGAACACAGUGCCUGCUCGGGGGUGCUGUUCCUGCUGAACUAAUUCCCGCCAGAUAUCGUGAGGCCACGUUAGACCAAGGGCAUCGGACCCUUCUCUGUGGCCGGGCUGCUCACGGACCCUUGGAUCUCCCAUUGCUAAACCUGUGUAAUGGGCAUAACUUCAUUUUACCCAGUCCACCGUGCAAGAUAUGCACCUUUAAGUAUUUCUUUAACUCAAGUUGUCAUACUUCAUUAAUUCCAAUACAUGCCUUUUCGUGGGUUAGCGUCGCAGAAAUCAGGAUCUUCUCACUGAUGGCAUCUUUGAAUCGCUAUUUCCCGGGUGGCAGGGUGGACGGAAUGGCCCGUGCAUGUCUGAACUUGUUCACAGGCAUUCCUAUGACCGUCCCUUCUGUUGAAGUCUGUGCCUUGUUGGUAGGACCCAAGUUGAGUUUAGUUGCUGUUUGAAAUGUUUUCAAAAAGAUCAUCCCCAGUUUCAGGUUUGAGAUGAAAAGUUAUCGUCAACAGAAAGGUUUGGAAACAGAGCAGUGGGGUGCAAAUAUGAUAUUAGUGAAGCAGGUAUUUGUGUUGGGUGGGUCGCUGAAAAGAAACAACCUCAUACACGGUAAUAGAUGUAGAUUACUACAAGCGUUUGAAACUGUGAUCAUUUUGUUGCUGAGUUGUGUACAAAGGCAAUGCCUGUUUGCACACGUCAAGCAAGCAAGCACCCACGUCAGACCUUUUAGAAUCGAUGGCAGCAUCUCGGAAGAAAACCUACAGCCAAUAGUGGGGACACUUGUAAGAAACGUUUCAUCAUCAAUACAGAGGACAGCGCCGUGCAGAAAAAUAUGAACAUUGAUUCCGAAUGCGUAAACUCUGAAUGCGAAGAUAACUUCGGGAAUUUCUUAACGAAUUUAUUUUCUUUUUUGUAUACGCGUGAGUGUGAUGUAUAAUAAACGCCUCUGACCCAAUAAGUCUAGAAAAGCCUUUUCAGCAAGCGUAAAAUACAGAUUUUAAGUGAUGAGCAAGCAUUGUUUCAUAGAUUAAUCGGCGUCUUUCUUAGUGGUACGUAAAUUAAUGAUGCAUUUUACAAUCGAUGGCUUCUGAGUAUCAAUGAAAUAGCUACUUUCUCAUUUGAGUUCCCAUUCCUUCGGGUAUUAGAAAUUAAAUUUCUGCCAGUUCAGCAGCACCCCUCCCCAUGAUUACACUGCAUUCCUGGGGGCUUACCCACAGCUCCCAUUUAGACUGAGGACACUGUGUUUGUUGGGCAUGAGUUUCUCUCUGGGCUGGCAGCCGCCGAGAUGGCCGUGUCUGAUGCCACACAGAUCGCUGCUGGGUCCUUUUCCUGUUCUCAUCUCAGGCCUCUUUCAGAGUGGGGGGGAUCUUUCUGCUAGUUCAGGUGGGCUUGGGGUCCACCUCCCUGGCAGCGAAGACGCUGAGCUGGUGAGGCCCUGGGCCCCUCGGUGGGCUCUCUGGAGCAGGAAGGGCAGUUGGCAUCCUCUUGGACCCUGGGUGGAAUUCACUCUUCCCACUGCUCUUAGGCAUGUAGGAUCCAGCUUCCCUUUGCCAUCUCUUUGGAACGGGGAGACCUAGACCCCGCCAUGUUUCCACUCUGGCAUCUCGUGGCCUCCCUGGCUCCACCUGGGGAAGGGGUACGCGUGUCCUCCGGCCUGUGUGGGGUUUCUGGUUGUUCCUCUUCCAUCUCUGCACGAUGAGGGGAGGGGGCUGUGCUGCAGGACCCCCUGUUGAGGUCCCUCCUGGCCUCCUCUCCAGCCUGCCCUGUCCUCCUGGUCUGGGCAAUGCCUUCUAACCUGGAGGGCCAGAGAGCCUGUCUCUUACUCCCCUCCCCAAGUUUUGCAGCUCCUCAGAGGCUUUGGGUUCUAAAACUCAAGCCAAGGACAGACUCGUGGUUCCCCUACCGUCUGGACGAGUGCUUCAGAGCACAAAGCUGACUAAAUGGAAGAAAGAUCUGGCACAAAGAAACACAAGAAAAUCACAUUGGCUCACCUUUCAAAAUAUCACCCCAAUGCAGGUUCUCACCGUGGUUCCCCUUUCCC
This is a long non-coding RNA of Felis catus (domestic cat), 3111 nucleotides long. RefSeq lists it as uncharacterized. Lineage: Eukaryota; Metazoa; Chordata; Mammalia; Carnivora; Felidae. The transcript has 4 exons. The record is from RefSeq and is a predicted model, not a curated record.